GACGAACGCUGGCGGCGUGCCUAACACAUGCAAGUCGUGCGAGAAAGUUCCUUCGGGAGCGAGUAAAGCGGCGCACGGGUGAGUAACACGUAGGUAACCUGCCCCCCAGUCUGGAACAACUAGAGGAAACUCUAGCUAAUGCCGGAUGAGACCACGAUUCCCUUCGGGGGUUGCGGCCAAAGAUGGCCUCUACUUGUAAGCUAUCGCUGAGGGAUGGGCCUGCGGGCCAUUAGCUUGUUGGUGAGGUAACGGCUCACCAAGGCUGUGAUGGCUAGCUGGUCUGAGAGGAUGACCAGCCACACUGGGACUGAGACACGGCCCAGACUCCUACGGGAGGCAGCAGU
Molecule: ribosomal RNA, 344 nt
Filed under: uncultured bacterium
Lineage: Bacteria
Description: bacterial SSU rRNA
Rfam family: Bacterial small subunit ribosomal RNA
Source: RNAcentral